Sitodiplosis mosellana (orange wheat blossom midge) is the source of this 347-nucleotide long non-coding RNA. RefSeq lists it as uncharacterized. NCBI's taxonomy places the organism in Eukaryota, Metazoa, Arthropoda, Insecta, Diptera, Cecidomyiidae. The transcript has 4 exons. The record is from RefSeq and is a predicted model, not a curated record.
GGCUUUAAUUAGAAUCGUCAUUGCACGUGGAUUGAAUCAUACAGUGUGUUGCCCACCGACGUGGCCGCACUUGAAAAGUAUAUAAGAGAAUGCGUUCGAUUCGCAUUUCCAUCAAACAGUUCUUACCAAUUGAUACGUUCAUAGUAAACUUCUAAUAGUUCGAAGCUAGAAAAAUGCUGAGCCGAAGUUCUUUCACACUGCUGCUCAUUGGCUUGAUGGUAUCCGAGUUCUUAAUCGGGGAUGUGAGCGGAGCACCACCCGGGAGGAACGUAAACGAAAAAGACAUGUAUGGAGAGACAGCUCUGCAUAGAGCUGCUUUUGCUGGCAAAGUGAAGGAAGCUGAAGAC